AGCGAACGUUAGCCCCGGGCCUAACACAUGCAAGUCGAGCGAGAAAGGGACUUCGGUCCUGAGUAAAGCGGCGGACGGGUGAGAAAUACGUAGGUAACCUGCCUUUCAGUGGGGGACAACGGUCCGAAAGGACCGCUAAUACCGCAUACGUCGUCCGGGACUCUGGUCCUGGAUGGGAAAGCCGGGGCAACCUGGCGCUGGAAGAGGGGCCUACGUCGCAUCAGCUAGUUGGUGGGGUAAUGGCCUACCAAGGCUAAGACGCGUAGCUGGUCUGAGAGGAUGAUCAGCCACACUGGGACUGAGACACGGCCCAGACUCCUACGGGAGGCAGCAGUGGGGAAUAUUGGACAAUGGGCGCAAGCCUGAUCCAGCCACGCCGCGUGAGUGAUGAAGGCCUUCGGGUCGUAAAGCUCUGUGGGGAGGGACGAACCGCCGCUGGCUAAUAUCCAGCGGCAUGACGGUACCUCCUUAGCAAGCACCGGCUAACUUCGUGCCAGCAGCCGCGGUAAUACGAAGGGUGCAAACGUUGCUCGGAAUCAUUGGGCGUAAAGCGCACGUAGGCGGCUUCGCAAGUCGGAUGUGAAAUCCCACGGCUCAACCAUGGACGUGCAUCCGAAACUGUGAGGCUUGAGUAUGGAAGAGGUCGCGGAAUUCCCCGGUGUAGA
This 665-nucleotide ribosomal RNA is filed under the name uncultured soil bacterium. Its description in RNAcentral is "bacterial SSU rRNA". It matches the Rfam family "Bacterial small subunit ribosomal RNA", at positions 28 to 679 of the family's 1533-position model. The record is from RNAcentral.